GUCAACAAGCUUGACAGAGUGUAUACAUUGAACAUUGCGUCCACCAAUAGAAAAACAAACAUUCUUUUUAAGCAGACAUGGAAUAUUGAUGGAAACUGACCAUAUGCUAGGCCUAAAUUCAUACUUAUUGUGAUAGCUUUGUAAUGUGUCAGUUUGGCUAGGCUGAACUACCCAUCUCAGACUUCCCUUUCUUCUGUGUUUCCAGUUAGCAUGAGCCACGUGUCAUGCUAUUCUGGAAGGCAGGAAGAAAGCAAAAGCCAUUUUGUAGCUCACACACUUCGUUGCUGAUCUGCAAACUCACCUUGGAAUAAAGCAGAGCUGGGCCUCAAUUAUUCCCCUUUUCUCCUGGAUCUUCCUUCAGUGUCACUGACUCCUGGACCAGAUUUGCUGCUCAGUCAUAAUAGGAUGUCAGCGGCCUUCAGUGCCUACAUCUUCCCGCAUCCCAUGAACUCACGUGGGAAAUACCUGGAGCCCAGAUCUUCCUGAGAGAGCUGCGGAAAAACCUGACACCUGCUCAGGGCUUUUUCAUAAUCAAAGGCAAAGGAUCUAAAUAGAAAACAUUAAAGAAGUCUCACUCCGAUGAAUGAGGCCGAGCCUGCAGCUCAAGGAAACCCUGGAGACUGCAUAGGGUGUUGGAAGAAAGAAUCUCAGAAGAAAGAAAUCUUCCCAUGAAGAGAGAACAUCAAUUUCCAAGCCAGCAAGGGCGAGCUGGGGCCUCAGGAAGGAGGGGUGGGGUGGAGAGUGAACAGAUCCACACACUGGUAAGGUAGAUGAAUAAGAGAGAAACACCUAAAGCUUGCCCGAAAGCAAAGUCCUUGACCAGGUUUUUGUUCUGUGGAGGUCCCUUAAAACAACCCUGACUGGAGUUUUCUUUAACUGGCCCUGAGGGGAGAAAAAUGCCAGGACUCACCAAUGGAUGUUUCUCAAAUGCAAAGAAUCCUUCCAGUGGUCGUCUAUGUGUAGUGACGUGGGCAGCCCUGAUAUGAUCUGAGGGGUGCAGCGCAGUGGUUCCUCCCACACAGAUUCUGGCUCUGGCCCCAUCCUGGUUUUUGAACACCUAUCUACAUAACCUGCUAUGGAGUAAAGGUAUUGUUUGCCCAACACGCCUGUUGAAAGGCAAGUGUCCCUGGUAGGGUAAUCCAUUAGCAUUGGCAGGUCCUUCAGCAUAGAUGUGUGUCUCAGAUUAGAGGACUAGAAAGGCCUGGAAGUUGGGGAGAGUUAGUCUGAUAUGGAACAUUAGAGAGGAAUAGAGAAGGAGGGGAAGGAGAGAGGAGGGCAAAAGGGAGAGCAUUUUGACCAGCAUUUGGCCUUGAGACAGAAGGGGCUGAGUGAGGAUGAGAGCAGAAAUUUAAAUGGGAAGGUGUGGGGGCCCCUAAGGGGUUACUGUUUCUUCCACAAGCUACCAGGGCCAGACUCAUUCUUUCCUAAGGGCUCUCAUUCUUCCUCAAGCCCACUGGUGAAUUCACCUUUGAGUAUAGGCCAAAAGAGGAGACAACUCACUUCCUUUUAAUUAUUGAAACAAUAAUGUAAUAGCACCAUCAUUAAGCACUGGUUCUUAACUUGGGAGGGAGGUGAUCAUCGAACUCCUCUGAGAAUCUGAUGAAAGCUGUGCUCGUACUUCUCAAAAAAAUAAACAUAUGCACAGCCACACAAAAUAUGGUAUGUUUUCACUUGUUUUAUGGACACUGUGGGGGCCCAUCUCUGGGUCCCAUGAGAGGCCAUUGUCUCCUAGCUAAAAUGCUUUGAUUUAUUCUUUAAUAAUCCUAACACAGAGGUUUCAUUUUUGUGCAUUUAUUCUAAGCCCUCUUCCUUAUGCAUGCAUAAUUGUUACAGUGCAAUCAUAAUCUACAUACAAUUUAUGUGUUCUACUUUAUAAAAUCUAACAUUAUCUGGUAAACAUUUUUCUAUGUUGUUAUAUAUUCUUCACAAUUAUAAAUUUGAAUGAAUAUAUAAAAUUGUAUUGAAUUGUUGCAGUAUAAUUUUCUUAACUGUUCCUUAAUGACUAGGUGUUUAAAUGGCUUCUAAUUUUGUAGUAUAGAUAAUGCUACACUGAAUAUCCUUAUCCAUUUAUCUUGCUUCUGUUGAAUGUUUCCUUGAGAAAAAUUCCUACCCUUUACAAAAUCAAAGUGUAAGAAUAUUUUUAUGGGUCUUAAAAGAUGAUGUGAUAUUGCUUUCCAAAGAAGUUAUAAUUUUGGGUACCGCCAAUAGUAUACAAGUGUCCCAAUUUCCCCAAAUCUUUACCUAUAAUGGGUACUAUUAUUGAAUUUUUUUCUAAUUUAAUAGUUUUCAAAGCAUCAAGAAGAUAGUCUGAUGUUUGGUUGCCAAGGGGUGAAGUGGAGAAUGAGAAGAGUGUACUGGGAGGAUGGGGAAGUCUGGUCUAUAAUGGGAAUGGAUAAAGCUUCUAAGCUUUUCAGUAACAACUGGAACCAAGCAGGCUAUAUGAGUUAAGGAGCAGCACUCACGGACUUAGUAAACAGUACAUUCCCACUUUCUGUCCAAUCCCUUUUCAAGCUUCCACUUCUAAAUUUUAUCAGUCAAAAUGGAAACUGGGAGCUAGGGUUUGAUCAGGACCAACAGGGUUACUGUGGGUCACUUUGUAAGGCUACUGUGAUAUGGUAACAGUAUGGUUUAUCCUCAGGAUGUCAUUGUCUCUAAAAAAUUGCCUUGUGCUCCAUAGCAGCACUAUCCAAUAGAAACAUAAUGCAAGCCACAUAUACGUAGUUUUCAGUUUUCCAGUAGCCACACUAAAGAAAAAAAGUAAAAAGAAACAAAUGAUCCUCCUGACCUCAAAAUAUAUUACAAAGCUACAGUUGUUAAAACAUGGUACUAGCAUAAAGACAGACAUACACACCAAUGGAACAGAAUAGAAAGCUCAGAAAUAAACUCACAGGUAUACAUUCAACUGAGCUUUGACAAGGGUGUCAAGAAUAUAUAAGAGGGAAUGGACAGUAUCUUCAACAAAUGUUGUUGGGAAAACAGGAUAUCCACAUACAAAAUAAUGAAAUUAAAUCUUUAUCUUACUGUAUGCAUAAAAAUUAAUUCAAAAUUGAUUAAAGACUCAAACGUAAGACCUGAAACCAUAAAACUCCUAGAGAGAGGAAAAGCUUUAGUACACUGGGCUUGCUAAUAAUUUCUUAGAUAUGAUACCAAAGUACAAACAACAAAAGCAAAAUUGUACAAUGUGACUACAUGAAACUAAAAAGCUUCUGUACAACAAAGGAAACAAUUAACAGAAUGAAAAGGCAGCCUACAGAAAGGGAGAAAGUAUUUUCUAUAUAUAUAUUGAUAAGGGAUUAACAUCCAAAAUAAAUAAGUUCCUACGACUUAGUAGCAAAAAACCAAAUAAUCUGAUUUAAAAACAGGCAAACAGGCAAAGGACUUGAAUAGAAAUUUCUCCAAAGAAGACUUACAAAUGGCCAACAGGUGUAUGAAAAGAUGCUCAACAUCACUAAUCAUCAGGGAAAUGUGAAUCAAAGCCACAGUGAGAUAUCACCUCACACCCAUUGAUAUGGUUAUUGUCAAAAACAAAACAAGGCUGGGAGUAGUGGCUCACAUGUGUAAUGCCAGUACUGUGAGAGGCCAAGGCAGGAGGAUCACUUGAGGCCAGAAGCUCAAGACCAGCCUGAGCGAAACAGUAAGACCCCGUCUCUUCAAAAAAUUAAAAAAUUAGCUGGGCAUGGUGGUGUGCCCGUAAAAUCUCAGCUACUUGGAAGGCUGAGGUGGGAGGAUCGCUUGAGUCCAGGAGUUCGAGGCUGCAGUGAACUAUGAUCACACCACUACACACCAGCCUGGGUGACAGAGCAAGACCUUGUCUCAAAAAUAAAUAAAUAAAUCAGACAAAAAAGAUUAAAAUGUUGGUGAGACUGUGGAGAAAUUGGAAUUUUUAUAUACUGUUAGUGGGAAUGUAAAACAGUGCAGCCAAUAUAGAAAACAGUAUAAAGUUUCCUCAAAAAAUAAAAAAUAGAACUACCAUAUGUUCCAGCAAUUCCACUACUGGGUAUAUCCCAAAAGAAUUGAAAUUAGAAUCUUGCAGGGAUAUCUGUACUCCCAUGUCCAUUGCAGCAGUAUUAGCAAUAGCCAAGACAUGGAAGCAACCAAAAUGUUCACUGGCAGAUGAAUGGAUAAAAAAAUAUGGUAUAUAUAUACAAUGGAAUAUUAUUCAGCCUUUAAAAAGAAGAAAAUCCUGUCACUUGAGACAACAUGGAUGAACCCGGAGGACAUUAUGCUAAGUGAAAUGAGCCAGUCACAGAAGACAAAUACUGCAUGAUUCCACUUCUAUGAGGUACCUAAAAUAGUCAGACUCACACAAGCAGAAAAUAGAAGUGACUACCAGGAGCUGAGCUGGGGGGAGUAGGUUGGGACUUGUUCAGUUGAUAUAAAGUUUUGGUUAUGCAGGAGAAAUAACUUCUAGAGAUCUGCUGUACAGCAUAGCACCCAUAGUGAAUGGUACUGUAUUAUGCCCUUAAACAUUUGUUAUGAGGUUAGAUCUCAUGUUAAGCACUCUUGCCAAAAACAAACAACACAAAACAAAGAAAAAGGAAAAAAACAGUGGAGGGAGGACACAGGGAAACUUUUAAAGGUGAUGGAGAUGUCUAUUACCUUGAUUGUGGUGAUAGUUUUAUAGGUGUAUGCAUAUGUCCAAACUCUUCAAAUUAUAUGCAUUAAACGUACAUAGUUUUAAUAUAUCAAUUAUAUCUCAAUAAAACUAUUAAAAAACAAAUCAAAUUAACUUCAGUACUAUAUAUUAUUUAACCUGUCAUAUAUUUAAAAAUAUCAUUUCAGCAUGUAAUCAACAUAAAAAUUAUUAAGUAUUUUCACAGUCCUUUUUUCAUACUAAACCUUUGGAAACUGUUGCAUAUUUUAUACUAACAACACAUCCCAGUUCGAGACACCUAUAUUUCUAGUACUCAGUUGCCACAUGUGGUCAUGGCCACUGUAGUAGACAGUGCAGCUCUGUGGCCUCAGCCCACAGAGAUGAGCCUAGGAUGCUUUGCAUUGCAGAACUGUCUUUCUCUUAACGCUUGAGCUAUUGGGAAAUCAGAGCCAUGUUAUUUAUCAUGAAAGAGCAUUUGAUUAAAAGUAUAAAAUAUCCUAGGUCAGAUGGCUCACUGUAGUUGCAGGGGAGACAGUGAAUUGCUGACCAUGCACUGUGAUACAUCAAAAUAUAGGGACAUUCAGGCACCUCCUCAGCCUACUGAAUCAGGAUCUUUGGGGUGAGUCUAGAAAACAGAUUUUUAAGUACAGGUUUUAAUAUGAUAAUAAGUGGUGCCUGUUAUUAAUGGGAGGACAUUGAAUCCCAGAGAGAAUGAAUGACUCACUCAUGUUCUUCUCAUAGUUAGGGGUCAGCUAGACCUAGAACCUCACUUGGACCCACUAGACACCUUUCCACGCCCUCACCACAAUCACUGCCAACUGCUAUUCCAGCACAAUUCUUGCCAAGAAAAUACCUGCUGUCAUGUGACAGGUAUCAGCACACUUUAGGAGCAGUCAAGACAACUUCCUAAGAAGGUAAACUAUAUUUUCCCAACUUACCAAAUUAGAGUAAGAAGAAUAGAUUUCUUCCUUUAAUCUGGCUUUGUCUCAGACUGGAAGUGCUCUCUUGUCCAGUUAGAAACUAAUCGUGAUAAAAUUAGUAGGCCAGAAGGACACUCAUGGCCCAUCUUUAACAGGAUUUAUAGCCCUGGUUCCUUUUCUUGUUGCCUCUGUGGAAAUGUGCAAGCAUACACAUAGUUAGGAAGGUUUGAAGGAAAUGCCUUAGAGAAGUCUCAGUGACCAAGAAAAGCUAGUCAAAUUGCCAGCUUCGGCCACAGCCAUGUGUUAAAAUGCUCUGCAGACCCAAGUGUGAUCAUGAAACAAGUACAGCAAGAACAGCAGGUCUGUAAACAUCCUGAUGACAAUGGGGAACAAACAGCUGGGCCGAGACCAGAUCGGUUCAGGCAAAUGUGCUCGUGCUUUUGAUCCAAGUGCAAGAUGAGCGGAUGCAGGGGAGGCGGCAGCUGCGGCACAGCUGGACUCAGGAGGCAUGUGAUAGCGUGACUUGCAAAUCAUGCUGGAAAAAUUCAUUCUACUAAGCUUGGACGUGAACACAGUCACGUGGGGCCCAUCAGCUCACACACUGCAGCCAAGAGCGAGACAGAAAUGCAACCGGGCUAAUAAGAGGCGUCAGGCCCACUUCUAGUUGGACACGGCUGUCUUUCAGGGAAGGAAUGGGACAGGAAAUGCACUAUAUUUGGAAAUGACUCUAAAUUUAGAAUGAAAGACUGACUUGAGAAUACUGAAAACUUGAUUGAGAGAUACUUAAAUGUAUUUUAUAAGCAUGGAAGGCAUUUACUGGGGUCUCUACCAUAGUGUUUUUUGCUUGUUUGUUUGUUCGUUGAAGACAAGGUCUCACUGUGUCACCCAGACUGGAGUGCAGUGGCACAAUCACAGCUCACUGCAGCCUCAACCUCCUGGGCUCAAGUGUUCCUCAUGCGUCAGCCUCCAGAGUAGCUGAGGCUACUUGACCACAGGCAAGCACCACAUGCCUGGCUAAUUAAAAAAAUUUUUUUUUGUAGAGAUGGUAUCUCCCUGUGUUGCCCUGGCUGGUCUCAAACUCUUGGGCUAAAGUGAUCCUUCCACUUCAGCCUCCUAAAGUGCUGGGAUUGCAGUUGGGAGCCACAGCUCCUGGCUUCAUAGUGUUUAAUAUGAAAGGCUAUUCUGAUCUUUCCUACUGGUCUAGCACUUUGGGGUUUGCAAAGAGCCUUACAUUCACUUUCACUUCACCAAUGAGUAAAUAAGCCUCAGAAAAACUGAGUAAAUACUAGAGCUCCAGUGGCGCAAUCGGUUAGCGCGCGGUACUUAUACAGAAAAACUGAGUAAAUACUGAAUGUAUGUGUGUGUAGACAUACAAUAUUACAUGAUGUGCUAUUAAUAUAGCAUGUGUAUAUAUACUGUUUUACACAUAUUUAUAUAUAUUAUCAUACUAUAUAUGCAUAUAUGCAUACUAUUAUAAUCAUUCAUUUAACAAAUAUUUAUUGAGCAAUUACUUAGGUACCGGGCACAGUGCAGUAUAUCAACAAGGGUAAGGGAUGCAGACAUUGCAACUCUCAUGGAACUCAGAGCCUAGUUAGGAAGAAAACCAUUGCAUAAACAAUCACAACAUAAAUAUGAUUAGAGUCUGGAGUAAGUGCUACAAAAGAAAAGUCUAAGAGGUCACAAGAGUAUAAGAAGAGGGUCUGCCUUGCCUGGAGCAUCAGAUGCUCCCCUGAGGAAGGAGCCUGUGAGCUGAGCGGUCCGGAUGAGCAGGUGUUUUCUACAGUCUGUGCAUUGUGUCUGCUGAGAAUCUGGAAAUUAAAAAUGCUGCUGUUGGGGGUUUCACCAUGUACGGACGAGGCAGGAGUUCCUCCAAAAAAUACAAAUUCCAUGAGGUUAAAUCAGACCUCUCAGCCCCAAUCAAAAGGUAAGGACUUCGUGGAAGCUAAGGUCAAAGUCCAAUCGAUUUAAUAGACCCUGAGAAUGUAACAUCCUAUGGAAGCUGAAAUCUAAGUGCAGGUUAGUUCUCCCAAUUGCUUUCUGCCCUUUAAGGUUAGAGAAAGAUGACAGCAAGAAGCAUAAAACUCAGUUGUGGCUCUCAGAGCAGUCCUUGUUUUGAGGUUUUCUUUUUUCUGUCUUCUCCUUUCCCCCCUGUCUCCUCUCUGUCUUUGUCCUCCUUCCUCUACCUUCUUUAUUUUUCACUGUUAUAGAUUAGUACCAUCUAUUCUAUUAAUAUUGACUAUAAAUGCAUGUUUUCUUCAUGUUAAAUGCCUAUCAAUUGUCUUCUACCUUCCAAAAGUUAAAAAUGUAUAUAUGAUAUGGCAAAACUUGUGCUAGAUCACAAAAGCAAGCUUUCAUUUUGAUUUACACAGGUAUGUGUGUACACACAAACACACUAAAUACAAAGGGUUGCUGCUAUAGGCUAGCAUAAAUAGCUUCCUGAUUCUUAACACAUCAGGUAAUAUAAAUUCUGGUAAGCUCAGACUGCCUCUAUAUGUUCAUAUCAAUUAGCCUUAAGGGUCUUUUUCUGAAGCACACGGUAAAAUCAACACAGCAUUAGGAGCUAUUUUCUCAAAAACAAAGAGUUUGAAUUCUUGCUGUAGUAGUUCUGAAGUAAAAGAGAGGCUCCUUGCCCCUCGUUGUUCAAAGUCAUCCAUUUCCAACAGGCGAGGGCAUCAACAAUUUGGCAGAGGCAGGUAAAAAAGAGCCAGGGGAACCCAAGUGAAAUUUCAACACAGCGGUUGCCUUGGAACCCAUUUGGAGGUUAACUUGCUCUUGUUUCUCCAGCAUUUCCUUGCUGAAGGAAAUUUGUACUCCAAUUCCAGCCGCGUUCCAACUCCAAUAAAACAGUGAUAAGAUGCCCUGGAGGGUUGCAGCCAAGCCUGUGGGUGCAAACAGGGUCAAAUCACAUCAUGGGAAUGAGAUGGGAUUCUACAUAGUUUGAGUGUUGACUGUUUUCCUCUUGCCAACAGUGGGACGUUUGUUCUCAUUGUUAAAUAAUUAAAUAGGCAGUUUGUAUUUAUUUAACAUACAGACUGUAGCCAAUUCCUGCUGACAGCUACCAAAAUAACCCCAUAUUUCCUAGCUCUGAAUGGCUCAGAAGACUGUUUCCUGACUGCGGGAGCAUCACCGCAGAGCAAAACUCUCCUCCAAGUCUCCGAACACCUUUUUCAUCACUUUAAACAAUAAAUCAAUUCACAGCAUGUGAUCCAAAAACAACAGCCCAGUUUUAUUGGAUGAGGUUCAUUCCCAUUCUCUCAGGCACUCCUUCACUACCAGCACUGAGCUGUCUUGAAGCUGUACUUGGCUGUGGAUGGAAAAAAAAAAUCUACUAGUUUUCCUCAUUUACACUUGCCCAUUAAAAAAAGUGAAUUGUGACCUAAUAACUUAAAAAAGAAAAAAAAAAAGAAGAAUUAUAACUUGGAGGAGAAAGUAGAAAGUUUGGGAGAAGCAGGCCAAUCAGGAAGUCAGGGGAAACAAGUAUUUAAAUGUGGAGGUGGGUAGUCCUUGGAGCUUGGGAAUGAUUCAAGAUAAGGUAGAGACUCUCACUGGUCUCCUAAGGUGGUCAACAUGGCAGAGGGAAGAAACUGAGCAGUCAAAGAUAGCAUCCUCUGUGGAGGGUGGUGCUAAGAGAGAUUCUAGAACCAUUUACACAUGAUCAAUGCUUUGAUCCUGUCAUGUGUAUCAGAAGAGAUGUAGACCAGGCCGGGCAUGGUGGCUCACGCCUGUAAUCCCAGCACUUUGGGAGGCCAAGGUGGGCAGAUCACUUGAGGCCAGGAGUUCGAGACCAGCCUGGCCAACGUGGUGAAACACUGUCUCUACUAAAAAUACAACAACAAUUAGCUGGGCGUGGUGGCACGUACCUGUAAUCCCAGCUACUCGGGAGGCAGAGGUUGCAGUGACUGAGAUUGCACUACUGCACUCCACUCUGGGUGACAGAGAGAGACUCUGUCUCAAAAAAAAAAAAAAAAAAAAAAAAAAAAAAAAAAAAAAAAGGAGAUAUAGACCAGACUCCUCUUGAAAUUUCCUGGUAUUUGUAGUGUCUGAGGCAUUCAGACAGUAGGUGCUAAAGACUUAUCCCUAGGAGUCCGGAGUCCCACUUAAGUGGAAGAAGGAAGCGAUUUUCCCUGUCCUAAGUGGCUAGCUACCAGCCAGCAGCCAGGCGAUGUGUGGGUACUGACAUACCACAGCAUCUUCCUCUCGAUGCUCCCACUAAUGUGGCCACCAAAGGUCCACCCUAGAGGAAACAGCAAUGAAAGGAAACAGGACAAAAGACCCCGUGGCAAGAAAAAAGAUGGCCUAAUUUUUUCUUUCUCACCAUUCCUCUUGUCCUCUUAACCCAUCUCUUUACUGUGCAAUUUGCACUUUGAGUGGCUCUACAGAUGGUGGAUACAGUGAAGACCUCUGUUAUCAAUAUUAAAACUGAGCAUCAGUGAGUCAACAAGGCUCCACUUUGUCCUGUUCAACUUUAGCAGCACCACAGAGAUCAGAACUAAGUAAAGCCAUUUACACAAUUAAGGAGGAGGCUGCCUUUUAGAGUGGCACAAGCAUUUCCUCUGGAGUAGUGUGUCUGAACCAGGAAGUCCCUCUCUGCCUUGUCUGUGGAUUUUAGACAGUCUGAAUUCAGUUUCUUCUUCUGUGAAAUAGAUCAGCCCCACUUGUACUGUCAUAGUAUUGCUCUGAGUAUGGAAAAGGACAAUGGAAAAUGAGGUGCUCUGUAUUCUGUUAUUUGUCAUUAGUUGUGUUCUACUAACCAAACUUUAGGCAUGGUGGAGUUCAUUUCUGCCUCUUCUGGAGAUAGGAAACUAUAGAACUAACUUCAGAUGUAGAUUUUUUUAAAGUUGUCACUCUGUCCCUUUUCUUGUUUGUAAAAGGAGGAAGUGCUUCUGUGUGCCCUCCAAGGCUUCUUCCAACCUUCCAAAAAAAGAAAAAAAAGGCAGACAGUCCAUUCAAGGAUGGCAAUCAUGAAAUCUUGACCUACUUUGGAAUGAGAGGCAACAUCUAAGAAAACCUCAGCUUAAUCUCUAUUAGCUCACCACAGAAGCAUAUAUUCUGGGCUAAGAUCUCUCAGAAGCUGGGCCAUGGCCAUGGCAUGUGCUUAAAGCAUAAUAAAAUGGAUGUGGAAAAAAGAGGAGUGUAUCCCACCUGCUCAUUAUCUGGGGCCAUAUUCCUAGCAGGGUAGUUCAACUAUUCACAGCCAAGAAACAUUUUUGAUCAGAGUCCAAAUCUCCAUCCAGAAACAGGUUCCUGGCAUACCACUCAUGCCCCUGUAAUCAAUUCCCUGGACUGUGAAUCAAGUGACUACUGCCAGAGCAAUGGAGUUGGAUUGUUGACUUUUUGACAGGUCUCUCGCCUCUUUCUGCAUCUUAUGUCUUCCCCGCUCUCCUUCUUGCCCCACCUACUGAAGCCCUCUACCUUCAUCCCUUUUCUCCCUUACCAAUCUCUCCUCCCUCCAUUUUUUCCUUUCUCUGCACCUCAGCUGAUGGCAGAUACUAUUUUUCAUACUUCUAAGCUUGCAUCAGUAUCAACACAGCCAGAUUCACUCACAUUUCCCUCCCCCUCCUCCCUCCCUGUCCCACUCCAAUUCUUUCCAAGGAGAACUUGGGGAUUGUGUCCAAACUGGGACUGAAUACAACCAACGAGGAACCCGAUGAUCCAAGUCCCACCCCCACAGCACACUAUAAUCCAGCACUGUAUAGAGCAGUUCACAGAACCAAAUAUAAAGCCCUUAUUAAGAAUAAACAUGUUGGCUGGGUGUAGUGGCUCAUGCCUAUAAUCCCAACACUUUGGGAGGCUGAGUUGAGUGGAUAACUUGAGUCCAGGAGUUCAAGACCUGCCUGGGCAACAUGGUGAAGCCCUGUCUUUACGAAAAAUCCAAAAAAAAAAAAAGAUUAGCUGGGCAUGGGGCAUGCGCCUGUAGGCCUAGCUACUUGGGAGGCUGAGGUGGGAGGAUAGCUUGAAUCCAGGAGGUUGAGCUGCAGUUAGCCAUGAUUGCAUCACUGCAUUCCAGCCUGGGCAACAGAGCAAGAUCCAGUCUAAAACAAAAAAACAAAAAAAGAAGAAUGAACAUUAUUCCAUAUGGAGACUUAGCCUCUGUCAGUUAGACCCCUUGACAUCCAUAACACAGAACUGGAAACUGGACAAUGGGCAAAGAAAGAAAAAUCACAGGUUCAGGUUACAGAAAAGAAGGCAGGGAGAAAGGGCAAGUUAAUCUAAAUACUGGGUAAGAGACAAAAAGCUAAAUGAGAUGGAGGAGCAUUCCGUGGUGGGAGUGGGAGGUGUUAGUAAACAGGGGCUGUGGAGCAACAUGGGUCCAGGAGAGUUGGGGAGACAGAAAAGGACAUAUGAAAAGUGUUGCCAGCUGGUAAGUUACAUCCUCAUAACUUCUUCUUAAGACAUAGAAAUUAGAGGCUAAAUUCCUUUUUCAUUACUUUUGACUGAUCUGUAAGUUUGUGAAUAUAAAUCUCUGGAAACUGAGGCACAUGGUCAAGGAGGCACACAGGCUACACGCUGGAGUUUAGGUAACUCUCAGAUCUUCUGAGCCAUCUUCAGAUUAAUCUCAGAUCAAAGAGGUUUAGAAAGGGAGAUGAUCUUCAGGAAUCUCCCUUACAAUACACUCUCAUCAGAUGCAUUUUUCAAAGGACAUUUGCUUUAGCAGAAUUGGAGAGAGAUAAAUCGCAGCCCUGUGCAUUCGAUACUUGAUACAUCCUUCCUCCACUGAGAAGCUAAUGCUCUAGUUCUGGGUUUACCUGAAGCCAUUAGGAGAGCUAAAACUCCAUGUAGUGUGCUCUGCUAAAAGUAAGUGGAUUUCGGAGCUAGAAGAAGAAUUCUCUCUCUCUGUAGUUCAAAUGGCAUUCAGAAAUCCAAUUAACGUUGGUUUUUCUAAAGCAGAAUCUGUAAUUGUGUCCAAUACUGCCAACUGUUCAGUUCGAUAAUAAAACAGGCUAUUCUUAAGAUGGCCUGUAGUCAUUAGGGAAAGUCUAGCUCUGUAGGAUACAAUUUCUCUUUGGAAUAAUAUAUGUGAUGUUUUUAUAAUUUCUUUCAUCCAAGCAUUUCAAAGCAUUUUAAAAUAAUUUGGAGACACAGGAUAUAUAUUUUUCAUAAAUUAAGCUACAUAUGUCAAUACUUUGCCUAGGGACAGAAAUUAAUUAUUCCACAGAAGUGAUGCUGGUAUCUAAUCUUAUUACAUUUAUACUGUAAAAGUAUCAUUAUUAAUAAUUAUGACAGCUAUUAUUUAUUGAAAGCAGAAUGCUUAUCCUGUUAGGCAUUGUGUUAAGUGCUUUGCGUGUAUUAUCUCAUUUAAUCUUCCCAUGAAUCCAAUUCUAAAUCUAAUCCCAUUUCAGUAUGAUUCUAUGAGUAAAGUACUACUUCUAUCCUUUUUUCACAAAUGGUGUCAAUUAGGUUCAAAAAAGUUUAAGUAGCAUGCCCAUUGUCACAUCGCUAGUAAGAAUGGUGGAGCAUCUCUUAUUGGGGAGGACCAGUUAUUAAGAGUUCCGAUGGUCAAUUUCCUUUUCAAAUGUCACUUGUGUGGCAUAUUGUGCAGCCUGUUUGAUCAUGAAGAGAUGGCCUUCUUAAUUCUAGAACCGUGUGGCUAAAAUCUUUGCUAAUUCUUGAAUGUACCAAGGGCUCUACUGUCUCUCAACACCUUGUAAGUAAAGAAAACUUAAGGGUGAUUUUUAAAGUAUGGCAAAGAACAACCUUUCUCAACUGUCAGACAGUUCUCUAGAUCACAACUAUAGCACAUACCAUACCAAAAAUUACAAAAUUUGGAAACAUAAAGUUGUCAUCUUCCUCCUGGGUUAUUGCAGUGUCCUAAUUGUUCUCCUUGCUUCUCAUUUUGCCCCCUUGGAAUAAAACCCAUGGCUAAAUGUUUUAGCCUAGCUUACCAGUAAUCUGAUCUCAUCUUAUGCCACGCUCUUCCUAACCCACUCUAUUCCAGCCACACUCACUCAGCCUUUUCCAGCUCUUCAAACACACCAAGUUCUUCUUGCCUUUAUACAUACUAUCAUCUCCUGUUGAAACUUCAUACUCCUGCUCUUCUCCCAUAUUCCUUCCUCCUAUUUCUUGGCUCUUAAAUGUUAUAAAUGGUGUUCAGUCACAUACACACACACAUUCACAAACACACACCCCACGUCUAAAUUACACCCUGUUUUUCCUUCAUAGCUCUUAUCCAUAUUUACAGUUUUCUGUUGUUUUGAGUACUUUGUCUAAUGAGUGUCUCUUCAAUUGGACUAUAAGAUCCAUGAGGGAAAAUUUCAUAUCUCUUCAUUUACCAUUGUAUUCCCAGUGCCUGAUACACUGCCUGACUAUAUUAGAAGCCAGUGAACUAUUUCAUAAGUUGAGUGACUCUAAGUUUGAUUCCUUAUCAACCACCUAAUUGCUGUGUGACCUUUGGAAAUGCAUAUUCAACUUCUUCUCUGAGUGUCAGUCUUUUCAUCUGUUAAAUGGGGCUCACAAUACCUAUAUUACAGGAUCUACAUGGAGAAGAUGUAUGCUAAUAUAUAUAAAAUGCUUCAAAAAUUGUUAAACCUUGUAGAAUCUCGAACUUUAAAUUCAGUAUCGCCCCAUUGAAGCUAAGGGUGUUUCCGCCAGUUUAGUAGGCUAAACUUGCAGAAGGAGCAGACUUUGGACAGCAUGUGGGCAAUUUUCACAAGGCGUUUAACUGGGCUUCAAGCCCAGGGCACUCAGAGGCUCAGCAAGGAGUGAAAUAGGGCCAGCUCGCCCCCCGAGGGGUCCAUCGGUCCCUUGACUAAGCUGGUAUGCUUAUGUUGUGUAUUUGUGCAUCAUAAACACAGCCAUCUAUCUGGUUUUUUGUCCUCUUUUCUGACUGACUUCUCACUCAAAGCACAAAGAAAAAGAAAGGAAAUGCAAAGUCAUGUGCAUCAACAGAGCCUAUAUCUUUGAGUAUCUUAGUGACUUGGGAUUAUUUUAAGGGAAAAAAUAUGGGAAAGUUCUGCAGGGACCUAACACACAUGGCUGGCUAUCAUCUAUACUCCAAGUAGACAUCGCUUUCUUAACUGUUGUAGUUGUUUGGAAGGAAGGGUGUGUCUGAUGCAGCCUAGAACUUUUCCCAGGGAUUUUGGGGAAAGCUCUCUUCCUUCUUAUUGAUCUGGAUUUGAAAAAGCAAUAAUAUCUAAAACUACGUUAGGGGAAAGGUCAGAAAAGAGAAGUCACCUGAUAGAGAAAGGGUCAAGGUAGACAGAGGUCACCAGUGGAGACUAAGGUCUAAGACAUAUGGUUUCCUUUGACUUUCUUCUCCUCACCAGUGGGUAAAGUGGUGAACUGGAUAUCAGCAUUCUUGGAAACUCCUGGAAGUUUUCUAAUUCUCUACAGAACCAUGAAGUGAACAGGGCACUUCAAAGAAUACUUGAUCCAUAGCCCUUGCUUUUUCAUAGGUUAGUCUCUGAAACAAAUGAGAAAGUAAUUCACAUUAUAAGUGGUAUUCCAAAAACAACAGCCAUUUGGGAUUCUUAUCUGGUAUUGAGGGGUAGACAGGAUUUUUCCAAGCUUGAAUAAAAGUCCCAGGAUCUGCUAGACACGGGGAAUUUACCCUCUCUUCUUCACCCAUGUGAAAUCUCACUCCACGACCAUUCCCUGACCUAGGCCCCAUCAUCUCCUGCUUGGGCCACUUCAAGAGACUCCUAAGCAACUUUUCGCUUCUGGUCUGGUGCCUGCUCCACUUCACCCCCAAUCCAUUCACACUUUACCCAGAGUGAUCUUUCUGAAACAAAUCUAAUCAUACAAACCCUGCUUGAAUGUCUUCCAUCAUUCUCCACGGUUGUGGAGGUAAAGUCCACACUGUAACAUGGCCUAUGAGGCCUUCCUACCUCACCAGCAUCAUCUCGUAUAAUUCUUCCCAUAUCUCACCAUCCACCUCGGCCCACCUCUUAUUAUUCAGGCAUGCUGUUCUUAAGGCAGGUCCUGAACAGGCUGUGCUCUCUUGGGACUCUAGGUCUUUACAUAUCUGUGAAUUAUAAAGUUCACCUUCUCACUACUAUUAUUCAAAACAUUUUCUUGGAGCUCUUUCAUUGCGCUUAACAUUGUACUUGGCAGUAGAACAGACAGACAGGUAAACAAGUAGUUACAGUUCAGAUAUUACAGAGGACAAAAUGUAUAAAUGUGAUAGAAGCCAGAGAAAGGGGCAACUAAUUUGGUCAGGGCGGAGCAAAGGAAAGCUUCACAAGAAGAGAAGACCAAUCACAUUAGCUCAUGUUUAGUGAACAUUUACUUAGCUCUGAGCUAAAGUGUUUUACAAAUGUUAUCUUAUCAAAUUAUCAAAAUAACUCUAGGAAAUGGAUACUGUCAGGAGAGAGGAGAGCAUAACAGUUAAGCACAUGAGUUAGGCCUCAGCUUAAACCCUGUCUCUACCACUUAGAAGAUUUCUAGCCUUGAGCAAGUUGUUUAACUCCCAAGGCAUUUUUGUCAACUUCAAAAUGGAGAUAGAUAAUAGUUUUUUUAAAAAAAUUAGUUCUGGCUGGGCGCGGUGGCUCACGCCUGUAAUCCCA
This 16016-nucleotide long non-coding RNA is filed under the name Homo sapiens (human). Its description in RNAcentral is "HSALNT0072382". Lineage: Eukaryota; Metazoa; Chordata; Mammalia; Primates; Hominidae. The record is from RNAcentral.